This 292-nucleotide ribosomal RNA is filed under the name uncultured bacterium. Its description in RNAcentral is "partial 16S ribosomal RNA". The record is from RNAcentral.
GGACUACUGGGGUAUCUAAUCCUGUUUGCUACCCACGCUUUCGCGUCUCAGAGUCAAGGGUGGCCCAGAAGGCCGCCUUCGCCACCGGUAUUCCUCCAAAUAUCUACGAAUUUCACCUCUACACUUGGAAUUCCACCUUCCUCUACCACCUUCUAGUCUAUCAGUUUCGAAUGCACUUCCUCGGUUGAGCCCAGGGAUUUCACACCCGACUUAAUAGACAUCCUACACGCGCUUUACGCCCAAUGAUUCCGAACAACGCUUGCCCCCUUCGUAUUACCGCGGCUGCUGGCAC